This 200-nucleotide ribosomal RNA is filed under the name uncultured bacterium. Its description in RNAcentral is "partial 16S ribosomal RNA". It matches the Rfam family "Bacterial small subunit ribosomal RNA", at positions 29 to 241 of the family's 1533-position model. The record is from RNAcentral.
AGCGAACGCUGGCGGCAGGCCUAACACGUGCAAGUCGAACGCACCUUCGGGUGAGUGGCGGACGGGUGCGUAACACGUAUGUAAUCUACCCAUUACUGGAAGAUAGCCCGGAGAAAUUCGGAUUAAUACUCCAUAACACUAUAACAUGGCAUCAUGAAGUAGUUAAAGAUUUAUCGGUAAUGGAAGAGCAUGCGGCUGAU